This is a long non-coding RNA of Cyprinus carpio carpio, 478 nucleotides long. NCBI's taxonomy places the organism in Eukaryota, Metazoa, Chordata, Actinopteri, Cypriniformes, Cyprinidae. The record is from Ensembl.
UAAACUCUUAUCUGUCACGUGACGUGCUAUAGACCUGGGAUCCGUUUUAUAAUCAUUUCAGGUUCAAAGAUCUGAAAAGACAUAAAGGAAGCAGUCACCCCAGUGGUGUUUGUGGAGAGGUAUUCCUUCAGAAAUGGAGAAGACAGAAAGCUGCAGAGGCAGGAUUGUUUGCAGAUAAUGCUGUUCUUCUUUUUCAGAAGUUUUUGGUGAGCCAACUCUCACAAACCUUCCUAAAAACUAAAAGAGCUAUUACUGAGUCUCGGCUAAUCUUGCCAUGGUCAGCUCUUCCCAGAAGAGAAGGAAGACCAAGGAAAUUAUUUGCUCAGGAUGAGAAAUGAAGAUGGCCAUCUUGUGCUCAAACAAACAGAAGUCCUCUGAUGAUCUCAUCAGCCAAAUGAGGGGUUUUGACCAAGUGAUGCUCUUGAAAGGAGUGAAAGAAGAGGAUGUGGUAAAUUGUCUUAAAGCAGCCUGAAGAAUG